AAGACAUUAGUAAAAUGUAAAUUAUCCCACCUUGUCAAGGUGAAGUUGUGGGUUAAACCCCCGCAUGUCUUA
RNAcentral lists this transfer RNA (72 nucleotides) under Gymnodiptychus pachycheilus. RNAcentral's name for it is "tRNA-Asp". It matches the Rfam family "tRNA". From Rfam's summary of the family: Transfer RNA (tRNA) molecules are approximately 80 nucleotides in length. Lineage: Eukaryota; Metazoa; Chordata; Actinopteri; Cypriniformes; Cyprinidae. The record is from RNAcentral.